This 198-nucleotide ribosomal RNA is filed under the name uncultured bacterium. RNAcentral describes it as "partial 16S ribosomal RNA". It matches the Rfam family "Bacterial small subunit ribosomal RNA", at positions 328 to 539 of the family's 1533-position model. The record is from RNAcentral.
ACGCUCGACACCUACGGGAGGCAGCAGUGGGGAAUAUUGCACAAUGGGGGAAACCCUGAUGCAGCGACGCCGCGUGAAGGAAGAAGUAUCUCGGUAUGUAAACUUCUAUCAGCAGGGAAGAAAGUGACGGUACCUGACUAAGAAGCCCCGGCUAAUUACGUGCUAGCAGCCGCGGUAAUCUGAGCGGGCUGGCAAGGC